This 348-nucleotide unclassified non-coding RNA is filed under the name Hevea brasiliensis (rubber tree). The record is from RNAcentral. Lineage: Eukaryota; Viridiplantae; Streptophyta; Magnoliopsida; Malpighiales; Euphorbiaceae.
AUUUGCUGGAAAGGCAUAUGGACAAAUAGGACAAGGAUUGCCCGUGGCUGCUUCCUUUUUAGCUAUUGUUAUGGGGCUAAACCUGUUAGAGGUAAUAGAGUUGCAACUUCCCUCAUUUUUUGACAACUUUGAUCCUCGCUCAGCCGCUGCUAGCUUUCCGUCCAGUGUUCAAGCUUAUUUGGCCGGUCUUACAUUUGCAUUAGCUGCAUCACCAUGCAGUACACCAGUCCUCGCAACCUUGCUCGGCUAUGUUGCUACUUCUCGGGAUCCAGUUAUUGGGGGCAGCUUGCUAUUGACAUACACAACUGGCUAUGUUACUCCCUUACUUCUUGCUGCUUCUUUUGCUGG